AUGGCACAUCUAAUAUAUUGCUCCCAUCUACACCACGGCUUUGACACGGCAGUGAUUGCCCGGCGAUUUCUUGCACCACUUUCCGAGGGGGAGCGGCGAGCUGCUGGCAGGGGGGUGGUUGGACCGGAUAAUCUCGGAGGUCUUUUCCAACCUUUAUUUUUCUGUGAUUGCCCCCCUCCCGGCCUCACAACCCAGGCGGGGGGCUCGGGGAGGGCUGCUGCCAUGCGGCGGGGCCGGGAGCCCUCCCGCUGCGCCUGCCGCGCCCCGCAGCUGCUUUCCCUGAAAAAAAAAAAAAAAAAAAAAAAAAAAAAAAAAAAAAGGAACGAAACGGGGAAGGCAGAUGCCAGGGCGGCUUCGCUGCCUGCUGGGCGUGCCGGGUGCGGCGGCGGGGGAUGGGGAGCCGAGCCGAGCCGCGUUAUGGCAGCACCGCCCCGCUGCAUCCCCAUCCCCAUCCUCAUAUCCUCAUCCCCCCGCGCCCCUCCCCGGGCCGAGCCGAACCGUGCCCGAGCCCCGGUGCCGGGAAGGCGCUGGGGAGAGGCUGCGGGUGCCGGGCGGGGCCGGCAGGGCGCCCCCACACCCGCCCCGCCAUGCGGCUGCCGCGCUGCGCUGGCGCAGGGCCGGCGGGGGGAGGAGAUGGAGGAGGAAAGGGGGGGAAGGCGCUGCCCUGCUGGGCUGCACCCCUGCCUGCCUCCGCCCGGCUGCCACAUCCCUGCAAAUCCCUGCCCCAUCACUGCCCCAGCGCUGUCUACCACUUCUCCAGCCCUCUCCACCCCUACUCCAUCCUUCCCUGCUCCAGCCCUACUCCAUCCCUGCCCACCCCUUCUCCAUCCAUCCCUGCUCACCCUUGCUCCAUCCACCCCUGCUCCAUCCCUCUUUGCCCCAUUCCUGCCCCACCCUGGUCUCUCCAUGCCCCAUCCCUGCGCCAUCCUUGUCCCCUCCAUGCCCCCUCUGGGCCCCUCCCUGCCCCCCUCCCUCUUUUCCUCCCUCCCUGCGCUCCUCCCCCCCCAGCCCGCCCCCUCCCCUCCUUUUCCUCCCCUCUCCUCCUUCAGCACCGUGGGCAGCUCCCGGCCGCGCCUGCCCUGGCCGCUCACAGCCCGCAGCCUCUCGAGCCGCGGGUGGGGGGCUCUGGGGACCCCCGCAGCCCCUCGAGGCGUCUCCCUCCCGGCAGCCGGCCUCUACCCCCCCGGCAUAAGCCCCCCUCGCUGCAGGCAGCCCCGUGCAGCCACAUCUCCGCCCUGCCGCGCACCCUCCCCGCUCCCGCAGCCUCCCCUCCGAAAGGCUGACUCGCCCCAAAAGAGACAAGCAGUCCCCGAAGGACAGCUGUCUGCGGGGGCAGGGUGUCCCCAGGAAGGCAAAUCACCCCCCCCAGGGUUGCCUCCCUCCCGGUACGGACCAACGAGCCAAAGCUGCCCCAGCGGGGGAGCCGUGGCGGCACCUCCUGCGCUGCGCCCCACGCGCGGUGAAUCACGGCAGCGCUCUGGGCACGGAGUGGGGCUGCUUCCUUCCCCCAGCCCGCUCCCAGACCGUGCUGCUCUCGCUUAG
Molecule: long non-coding RNA, 1542 nt
Filed under: Cairina moschata (Muscovy duck)
Lineage: Eukaryota; Metazoa; Chordata; Aves; Anseriformes; Anatidae
Description: domestica (muscovy Duck (domestic type)) lncRNA (ENSCMMG00000001916.1)
Source: RNAcentral